AUGACUAGGGAUAACCUUAGGAAGAGACACAUCAUCAAACCCCUUGAUUGUGUUUACUGCUUGGAACAAGAGUCUUGUUCUCACCUAUUUUUUGAAUGUAUAGUUGCUAAACAUAUCUGGGUCCACAUUGAGGAAUAUUUCUCUAGUCAGAUUGGCUCAUCCUUCGAGUAUGUCGCCAGAUUCUGGAUUGCUACCAAAAAGUGCUCAGUUUUAAACACGGUUAGCUCAGCUAUCCUUUGGUGCCUUUGAAAAUAUAGAAAUGCUAUGAUUUUCAGUAACACCUCCUGGAUUUCCAUUCACAGGUCUUGA
RNAcentral lists this ribosomal RNA (309 nucleotides) under Triticum aestivum (bread wheat). RNAcentral describes it as "partial small subunit ribosomal RNA". The record is from RNAcentral. Lineage: Eukaryota; Viridiplantae; Streptophyta; Magnoliopsida; Poales; Poaceae.